This 279-nucleotide ribosomal RNA is filed under the name uncultured bacterium. Its description in RNAcentral is "partial 16S ribosomal RNA". It matches the Rfam family "Bacterial small subunit ribosomal RNA", at positions 333 to 609 of the family's 1533-position model. The record is from RNAcentral.
UGUGGCCUACGGGGGGCAGCAGUGAGGAAUAUUGGUCAAUGGCCGAGAGACUGAACCAGCCAAGCCGCGUGAGGGAUGAAGGUACAGAGUAUCGUAAACCCCUUUUGUCAGGGAACAAAGGCGGGGACGUGUCCCCGGAUGAGUGUACCUGAAGAAAAAGCAUCGGCUAACUCCGUGCCAGCAGCCGCGGUAAUACGGAGGAUGCGAGCGUUAUCCGGCUUUAUUGGGUUUAAAGUGUGCGCAGGCGGUCUUUUAAGUCAGCGGUCAACGCCCGGGGCU